This 774-nucleotide ribosomal RNA is filed under the name uncultured Neocallimastigales. RNAcentral's name for it is "partial large subunit ribosomal RNA". It matches the Rfam family "Eukaryotic large subunit ribosomal RNA", at positions 24 to 643 of the family's 3401-position model. Lineage: Eukaryota; Fungi; Neocallimastigomycota; Neocallimastigomycetes; Neocallimastigales. The record is from RNAcentral.
UAUCUCUGUAGAGUCUGCAUAUCAAUAAGCGGAGGAAAAGAAACUAACAAGGAUUCCCUUAGUAACGGCGAGUGAAGCGGGAAGAGCUCAAAUUUGAAAUCUUCAAGGUUCUAUCUUGACGAAUUGUAGUUUAAAGAAGUGUUUUCUGUUAGAUGAGUAGCAAAAGUUCCUUGGAAUGGGACAUCAUAGAGGGUGAGAAUCCCGUAUUUGGUUAUUCAUUCUAGCUUUGUGAUACACUUUCAUAAGAGUCGGAUUGUUUGGGAAUGCAGUCCAAAAUGGGUGGUAAAUUUCAUCUAAAGCUAAAUAUUGGCGAGAGACCGAUAGCGAACAAGUACCGUGAGGGAAAGAUGAAAAGAACUUUGAAAAGAGAGUUAAACAGUACGUGAAAUUGUCAAAAGGGAAGCGUUUGACACCAGUGUUGUUUUUCCGAAAAUCAAUUACGAAUGGCUUGAUUUUGUGUUGUAUUGACCUUAUCAGCUUUCUGCACUUUUUUCGAGUCUUUCUUAAUGCACUUUUUGGUUAACAAGUCAACAUCAAUUUCUUUUGUUGUAAAAGAGUAUUCGGAAGGUGGCUUUCUUUUCGGAGAAAGUGUUUAUAGCCCUAUACUUCUACGAUCGGAGAGAUUGAGGUCUGCAGCGUAGAUCCUUCGGGGUUAGAUACACUUGUGCUAAGUUGUAGCUUUUCAUAGACAACUUGUUGACUAUGUUUAGUCAUGCGGCUUACUCGCUUAUGCUAUUUUACCUACGCUUAGGAUGUUGACUGAUAUGUAGUCGU